CGGACGGGUGAGUAAUGCCUAGGAAUCUGCCUGGUAGUGGGGGACAACGUUUCGAAAGUAACGCUAAUACCGCAUACGUCCUACGGGAGAAAGCAGGGGACCUUCGGGCCUUGCGCUAUCAGAUGAGCCUAGGUCGGAUUAGCUAGUUGGUGAGGUAAUGGCUCACCAAGGCGACGAUCCGUAACUGGUCUGAGAGGAUGAUCAGUCACACUGGAACUGAGACACGGUCCAGACUCCUACGGGAGGCAGCAGCA
Molecule: ribosomal RNA, 254 nt
Filed under: uncultured Pseudomonas sp.
Lineage: Bacteria; Pseudomonadati; Pseudomonadota; Gammaproteobacteria; Pseudomonadales; Pseudomonadaceae
Description: partial 16S ribosomal RNA
Rfam family: Bacterial small subunit ribosomal RNA
Source: RNAcentral